Long non-coding RNA from Pomacea canaliculata, 549 nucleotides. RefSeq lists it as uncharacterized. The record is from RefSeq and is a predicted model, not a curated record. NCBI's taxonomy places the organism in Eukaryota, Metazoa, Mollusca, Gastropoda, Architaenioglossa, Ampullariidae. The transcript has 3 exons.
GCCAUCCUAAUCCACUCACAGACAAGUGGUCUCCAUACUGGACUAUUUAAAAGAGAGAACCGUUCCUUGACCUCAGACACAGAGUUGCAUUCAGAACGUGAACGAAGAAGGAAGACUCAUUUCGACAAGAUGAAGACCUUCUGUCUGCUGCUGGUCCUGUGCCUGAUGCUCUCCCUUGUCGCGAAGGGCGCUGAUGGUGUCUCGGACUUCGACCCGGCUGACGAUGAAAAAGAGGAAAAACGGGAAAAACGUAGAAUGACUGCCAGCUGGGCUGCUCAUGGAAUCGGACAUCUGGUAUACAAUAGAAGACGAAAAGGUUAAAUGGCAACUCAUACAAAUCAAGACACUGUCAACAAUUAGACGAGCACGGAUGUGAUGUCAGCUGCCUCUCGGCGGGUCUUGGACAAGAAUCUGUCACGUGAUUCACGCUGUCAGUCUAUUCUCGUCGUCUUCAGAAUCCCUCAGUGUUGACAAUGUUUUUAUUCCAACUGUUUCCCGUCUGCGGAAUACGUUUUUUUUUAAUAUUUGAAAAUAAAUUCUGCACUCUAA